UCUCAGACUAGUGUUUUCUAUAUUGUGGUGCUGCAAAUGCGUGAGUGUCUGCUACUUUCACCUCCCCCCAGGAAGUGUGAAUACCAUUGCAGCAGGUCAGUGCUAACUCUGGUUACUGUGGUUUCUGCAAAUUUAGGCAGCGUGAUAUUCAGCUUUGCUAACAAGCACUCCAGCGGACUGACAAAAGGCUCAAACAGGCAACAAGGAGAUUUCAUUUCUCAGCACCACCCUGCGAGCUGGAACGCAUGGCUGGAAAACUGAUCAGGAGGAACGGAGACAGGCUUGCCCCGAUCAACAUCAAUGGGUCUGCAGUUGAGAGGGUGACUGAAGAAGUUUGACAUGAGCCCCCAAAUCCUCAAGACCUUUUACAGGGGCACCAUUGGGAACAUACUGACUGGCUGUAUCGCCGCCUGAUAUGGGAACUAGAACAACCUUGACCGCUGCGCACUGAAGAGUAGUGCAGACAGCCCAACACAUCUGUGGACAUGAACUUCCCUCCACUGAGGACAUUUACAGCAGCAGGUGCAUAAAGAAGGCUUGGAAGAUCAUGGUGGUCACCAGUCACCCCAACCAGAAACUGCUUCAGUUGCUUCCAUCUGGCAAAUGGUACUGCAGCAUCAAAGCCAGGACCAACAGGCUUAUUUCUACAAGACAUGAGACUUAUAAAUUCACAUGUCUGUACAUUGCAACGGAGUCAUAACACAAAGCUUUUUACUCCAUCACGUUGUGGGAUACAGUAGAUGUAAAAUUCCAAUUCAAUUCAAUUCAAAGCAUCAAAUGAUCCUCAUAUGUUAACCAUUUAAUUCCAGGGAUCAUUCUCACGAACCUCCUCUGGACCAUUUCCAAUGCCAGCACAUCCUUUCUAAGAUAAGGGGCCCAGAACAGCUUACAACACUCCAAGUGCAGACUGACAAAUGCUUAAUAAAGUCUUAUAUACAGUACUUUCUUUUGUAUUUUAGUCCUCUUGAACUGAAUGCUAACAUUGCAUUUGCCUU
Molecule: long non-coding RNA, 995 nt
Organism: Hypanus sabinus (Atlantic stingray)
Lineage: Eukaryota; Metazoa; Chordata; Chondrichthyes; Myliobatiformes; Dasyatidae
Exons: 3
Source: RefSeq, a predicted model, not a curated record